RNAcentral lists this ribosomal RNA (465 nucleotides) under uncultured bacterium. Its description in RNAcentral is "partial 16S ribosomal RNA". It matches the Rfam family "Bacterial small subunit ribosomal RNA", at positions 28 to 507 of the family's 1533-position model. The record is from RNAcentral.
GACGAACGCUGGCGGCGUGCUUAACACAUGCAAGUCGAACGGAAAGGCCCUGCUUGCAGGGUACUCGAGUGGCGAACGGGUGAGUAACACGUGGGUGAUCUGCCCUGCACUUCGGGAUAAGCCUGGGAAACUGGGUCUAAUACCGGAUAGGAGCCAUUUUUAGUGUGAUGGUUGGAAAGUUUUUUCGGUGUAGGAUGAGCUCGCGGCCUAUCAGCUUGUUGGUGGGGUAAUGGCCUACCAAGGCGGCGACGGGUAGCCGGCCUGAGAGGGUGGACGGCCACAUUGGGACUGAGAUACGGCCCAGACUCCUACGGGAGGCAGCAGGGGGGAAUAUUGCACAAUGGGCGCAAGCCUGAUGCAGCGACGCCGCGUGGGGGAUGACGGCCUUCGGGUUGUAAACUCCUUUCGCUAGGGACGAAGCGUUUUGUGACGGUACCUAGAUAAGAAGCACCGGCUAACUACGUG